GCGAGGGUACCAAAGCCUGGCCAAAUGGGCCGGACUUAAGAUCCGGUUUCGAAGGAAUCCAAGGGUUCAAAUCCCUUCCCUCGCA
This is a transfer RNA of Methanospirillum hungatei JF-1, 85 nucleotides long. It matches the Rfam family "tRNA". From Rfam's summary of the family: Transfer RNA (tRNA) molecules are approximately 80 nucleotides in length. Their secondary structure includes four short double-helical elements and three loops (D, anti-codon, and T loops). The record is from Rfam. Lineage: Archaea; Methanobacteriati; Methanobacteriota; Methanomicrobia; Methanomicrobiales; Methanospirillaceae.